CAUAAAGAGUGUUCUCACAUAAGAAAAAUUCUCAUAUAAGAAAAAUUCUCACGAGAGCAUUCUCCUAUAUAUAUAUAUAUAUAUAGAAAUGAGAUCAAGAGAACCAAGGUGAAUAUUAGAAACUAGAAACUUUCUUCAAAAAAAAAAAAGAACUAGAAACUCAUCUGGAUCGGACCGUUGAUCGCACUCAAUCUAACGAUUCAUAUUCCACCCGCCUCAUUAAGAGCAAAAUGGUAAAUUCACGCUUUGAAUGACUAGAUUCAAUUAAUCUGAUUUUCAUUUUCAUUUUCUCUCUCUUCGUUUCAUUUUCUCUCUCUUCCUAUGAAUUCUCUCUAAUUCUCUCUCUUCCUUAGAAUUUUUCUGCGCUCUUGCUGUCGUUGGAUUUGCUUUUUUUUCUACGCCUUUUUUCAUUGCAAAUUGAUACCAGACAAUGAUGAUUAUACGGGAUUGAUUGGGUGCCGUGGAGAGGGAGAUAAUAUGGACUAUUGUACGAGGCAUAGCAGUAAGUUGGGAGGCUAGUUGGGAGGCUGAUAAUACAGAUGCAGCAGCAGCUAGUAGCAUGGUUCAGGCUCCUUGUUGCUCGUAGAUUGGGUAUGCAAGAAAUAUGGUUAGGAGAAGAUGUAUUUCUUUGAUUAAGUUUUUUCUUAUUUACUUUUGAGUAUUUUUUAUUUACUUUUGUGAUUAUUCUCUAUAAAAUGGAUCCUAGUGCUAACUAACUAUUCUUACUCUAUAAUAGUCUACUAGCUCAAUGGGUAGAGCAUUGUGCAAGUGCACAAAAGAUGUGGGUUCGAAUCCCACGUAGGUUUUAUGUGUGAAAUCUGAAGAUUAGCAUUUGUAAUGUUUUAUUAGAUUUGUUCUUUUUAUGUUUAUUUUUGAUAUAAUUUUAUUUACUUUUAAUUUGAAAACCUUUACAUCAUAUCGAACUCAAUAUAUUUGUUUCUUAUGACUUAACUCAUCUUAUAAACAUAUGAAAGUCAAUAACUCGUAGUGUUUGUGCUAUAACAAAGUAUCCUUAGUCAUUUAUCAUUUCAAGAUAAUUUAUUUAUUCAUAUACUUUAAUGAUGAUUUGAUUAACUUCAAUGAUACUUUGAUUUACUUUCUAGCAUUAUUUAUUUACUAUAGAGUAAUUAUGAUUUACUUUUGACAUAUAUUAAUUUUUUUUUUUAGUUUUUCUACUUUUAAGAUAUUUUUAUUUACUUUUGAAAUAUUUUGAAUAACUUUAGAGUGUUUUGUAAUUAUUUUUUAAGAUAACCUAUGUCGGAAUCAAACCUACACUUCUAUGCAUCUACAUAGUGCUCUACCACUUGAGCUAAUAGGUUUACAUAAGUUUACUUUUAAAGUCUUUUUUAUUCACUUACAGAGUCGUUUUUAUUUACUUUUUUCAUACCAAAAGCCACUUGAACUAAUAUGAUGUGUUUGGAUACAGACAUACAAUAAAGUGUAUGGAACCUUAACUAGUCCUUAUCGAUUUUUAUGUUUCUUUUCAA
Molecule: long non-coding RNA, 1487 nt
Organism: Chenopodium quinoa (quinoa)
Lineage: Eukaryota; Viridiplantae; Streptophyta; Magnoliopsida; Caryophyllales; Amaranthaceae
Exons: 2
Source: RefSeq, a predicted model, not a curated record